GACGAACGCUGGCGGCGUGCUUAACACAUGCAAGUCGAACGGAGAGGCCCUGCUUUUGUGGGGUGCUCGAGUGGCGAACGGGUGAGUAACACGUGAGUAACCUGCCCUUGACUUUGGGAUAACUUCAGGAAACUGGGGCUAAUACCGGAUAGGAGCUCCUGCUGCAUGGUGGGGGUUGGAAAGUUUCGGCGGUUGGGGAUGGACUCGCGGCUUAUCAGCUUGUUGGUGGGGUAGUGGCUUACCAAGGCUUUGACGGGUAGCCGGCCUGAGAGGGUGACCGGCCACAUUGGGACUGAGAUACGGCCCAGACUCCUACGGGAGGCAGCAGUGGGGAAUAUUGCACAAUGGGCGGAAGCCUGAUGCAGCAACGCCGCGUGCGGGAUGGCGGCCUUCGGGUUGUAAACCGCUUUCGCCUGUGACGAAGCGUGAGUGACGGUAAUGGGUAAAGAAGCACCGGCUAACUACGUG
This 468-nucleotide ribosomal RNA is filed under the name uncultured bacterium. Its description in RNAcentral is "partial 16S ribosomal RNA". It matches the Rfam family "Bacterial small subunit ribosomal RNA", at positions 28 to 507 of the family's 1533-position model. The record is from RNAcentral.